UACGGGGGGGGUAAGCGUUGUUCGGAAUUACUGGGCGUAAAGCGCGUGUAGGCGGCCCGAUAAGUCCGCUGUGAAAGUCCAGGGCUCAACCCUGGGAUGCCGGUGGAUACUGUCGGGCUCGAGUCCGGAAGAGGCGAGUGGAAUUCCUGGUGUAGCGGUGAAAUGCGCAGAUAUCAGGAGGAACACCAAUGGCGAAGGCAGCUCGCUGGGACGUGACUGACGCUGAGACGCGAAAGCGUGGGGAGCAAACAGG
This 253-nucleotide ribosomal RNA is filed under the name uncultured bacterium. RNAcentral's name for it is "partial 16S ribosomal RNA". It matches the Rfam family "Bacterial small subunit ribosomal RNA", at positions 524 to 776 of the family's 1533-position model. The record is from RNAcentral.